GGGGCUACCGGCUAAGACGAAGCCGAUUCAGAUUGGAGCAAAUCGAACAUCGAUUUGAUUCUGUCGUACCGCGUAAGCAGCCAAGAUGGCGAUCCCCGAUUCGUGACGUCACAUGAAGUUCGGCAAGCCGAUUGAACGAAUGAUUUCAGUACUUUUGACACUAAAUCGCUACCGCGUAAAAAAUCGAAGUUCGGCGCCUGAAGCCGAUUCCCAUUGGAAGUGUCAGUUGAAGCCGGGCACUUUUCAGUAACCGUGAUCAAUUUUAAUUUCUUAUUUUCACUGUUUUUCAACAAUAUUAGGAGCUAUUUACGGUGGGCGACAAAUUUUAGGAACAUCUUAAUCAAUAUAAAAUUGAUAUCGGCGUGGAUUUUCGUGUUUAAAUACCUAAAUACAGUGUCAUGGAGAUAGUCGUUUUAUGGGCUGCUGCGGAAGAAAAUGUCUUCAGAAUCUUGAGCAAAUCGAUUGCAGGAUACUUCGAGAGAAAAGCCAGUAUAUACUUCUCACAGGUACAUCUAUUUAUAACAUUAUUUCUGACAAGUGGCUCAAUGUUUACAGAGGAAAAGUUGCUGAACUUACUAGAAGCGAUUUUUGAUCAUUUCAUACUUAUCUAUUUUGUUUUGUUUCAGAGAGUAGCUACAUUAAUAAUUUUAGAUUAUCAAAAGAUGCAUUUCGGACUUUGUAUCAUGACUUAGGACCAUAUCUGGAGGUCCAAUGCUCUACAACUGUGCAAUCGACUUUAAGUGACAAAUGCCCUCAAUCAGCCUGCAAUCGUGAGAUAAUAUAUCAAGUUUCCUCGGACAAAAACUGAGCAUGUAGAAGUCUCCAGAGGUUUUAAUGACAAAUUUGGAUUUCUUGGAGUACUUGGAUGCAUCCACGGCACACACAUUGCCAUUAUCCAACCUCACAAGUGGGAAGAGGCCUUCUUCAAUAGCAAGUAUUACCAUUCAUUGCAUGUUAUGUUGGUUUGUGAUGGAGAUAUGUGCAUUACAUUUGUGAUGCAUCCAAUGGGAGUGUUAGUGCUAGACUGCUAGCCAAGAUAACCAUAUUUGGAACAACAGCACUUUGAGAAGGGAAAAGGAACAUCUCCUUAAUUUAAAUAUGUUUAAGUUCAUUAAGUGGACUUGUGUGGUCCUUGAAAUGUAAAUUACAAAGUCAGUGUGGUGUAAUCAAAAGUGGCAGAUUUGUUAUUCAAUAAUACAACAUCUAAACAAACCUUUUUUUAUUGGCAUCAA
This is a long non-coding RNA of Pectinophora gossypiella (pink bollworm), 1232 nucleotides long. RefSeq lists it as uncharacterized. The transcript has 3 exons. The record is from RefSeq and is a predicted model, not a curated record. Lineage: Eukaryota; Metazoa; Arthropoda; Insecta; Lepidoptera; Gelechiidae.